CACAGAAACCAAACACAGAUAAUACCAUAGCAACAAAACACAGGUAAUACCACAACAAAACACAGGUAAUACCACAGCCAAACACAGGUAAUACCAUAGCAACCAAACACUGGUAAUACCAUAGCAACCAAACACAGGUAAUACCACAGCAACCAAACACAGAUAAUACCAUAGCAACCAAACACUGGUAAUACCAUAGCAACCAUACAACAGCAACCAAACACUGGUAAUACCACAGCCAAACACAGGUAAUACCAUAGCAACCAAACACUGGUAAUACCACAGCAACCAAACACAGGUAAUACCAUAGCAACCAAACACUGGUAAUACCACAGC
Molecule: long non-coding RNA, 336 nt
Filed under: Salmo salar (Atlantic salmon)
Lineage: Eukaryota; Metazoa; Chordata; Actinopteri; Salmoniformes; Salmonidae
Description: lncRNA (ENSSSAG00000083306.1, ENSSSAG00075016617.1)
Source: RNAcentral